UGGGGAAUAUUGCACAAUGGGCGCAAGCCUGAUGCAGCCAUGCCGCGUGUGUGAAGAAGGCCUUCGGGUUGUAAAGCACUUUCAGCGAGGAGGAAGGGUUCAGUGUUAAUAGCACUGUUCAUUGACGUUACUCGCAGAAGAAGCACCGGCUAACUCCGUGCCAGCAGCCGCGGUAAUACGGAGGAUGCAAGCGUUAAUCGGAAUUACUGGGCGUAAAGCGCACGCAGGCGGUUUGUUAAGUCAGAUGUGAAAUCCCGCGCUAACGUGGAACUGCAU
This 276-nucleotide ribosomal RNA is filed under the name uncultured bacterium. RNAcentral describes it as "partial 16S ribosomal RNA". It matches the Rfam family "Bacterial small subunit ribosomal RNA", at positions 355 to 626 of the family's 1533-position model. The record is from RNAcentral.